UUACAUUUAUCAAUUUUAUUAUACAAUAUACAAAUGUAUACUAUACAACAUUAACAACAACAUUUCACAACAUAAACAUUAUACAAUACUGUUCAUAUUGCUAGAGAGACCGAUUAAGGCACUUCUCUGUAGAUCAUUGUUCGUCUGGAACAUAUAGCGGAUUGGUGUUCAUCUUUAAAAGAAAUGUGGAUUCAUUAUUUUUCGUGGAUUUUGCGCGUAUAGGUGAACCACGAAUUUAAAUGCUUAAUUACAAAUUGCAUGCAGGCUUGAGAAAAACCUCGAAAUUAAAUAUCCUCAAAAGUGUAAAUAGUAAAAUCACAAAAAUACUGAACUUAGAGGAAAAUCAAUUUGGAAAGUCCAUAAUCACAUGGCAAAAUCAAAUAACAAAACGCAUCAAAAACGAAUGGACAAGAACUGUCAUAUUCCUGACUUGGUACAGGCAUUUUCAAAUGUAGAAAAUGGUGGAUUAAACCUGUAAGUUUUUUCUUAAUCCACGAAAAUUUGUUCCCACGAAAAAUUAAUUAAUCCACAUUACAUUUACGUGUCCUUGUGACUUUUUGGGGCUAUGGAAAAAAAACCAUAGAAAAGGUAGAAAAGGUUAUUUGCAAAUCAUGAAUGAAAUGCUUGAUGCAGUCAGACAGAUGGAAGUGGAUGGGAUAUAAUUGGAAGAUUACUCUUUUUUUUAUCAAAACCCACACCAUGGUACAAUUUAUAAUACGAUAUAGUAUAUUUAGUCAUUUUCUCAUUAAAUAAUGGUCUCCUGGUUGGUUUCAUAAAAUUGAGAAUGGAAUAUGUCAAAGAGACAACAUCCCGACCAAAAAGCAAAUAUAUGUAUAAAUGUAAAGAAUGUAUAUAAAAAGGGGUGACAAAGUGUUUUGUUUCAUUUAUAUAUUACUAAUUCAUGAAAUUGCGUAUAACAAACUUUUAAGGUUUUAUUUGAUAUGAAAAUAUCAGGAGGUCACCAGAUUCUUCCUUUUUCUUAAAUUGUCUCGAUACAUGAAGUGUUGAUCACGUCAAAAUAAAUGUCACACAAUGCAAAAUCACAAUUUUUUUCUCAUCCAAUCUUAAUUGACAAGAACACAAGUUGGACAAAAAUUCUAUGAAAUUUGAAAUAUAUCCGAAUUAUGUAUACGUUGUCCUUGCAUGUUGAAAUAUAUUUGUGAUAUUUAAAACGGGGCGUUUAACAUAAGUCCAUAAUCAUUUUCAUCAUUAACUAAAAUCGAAAUAAUGGAAAAUACUAAUUGGAUGAAAAAAUAGAUAGAAAUAUUCGUGGUAAAGGCCUCUGCGUAUAUUUAAUGAAAUUAAAGUUAAAAGACUACAAUAUCCACGUAACUCUAAAACAUAUGAAUAAAAGUUAUUCAUUGCUCAUUGUCUGCUUACAUAGGCUAGCAUAGUUACUUUUCUUGUAGCAUGUAUGGGAAGGAGGAAUAAUGAGAAUUUAUGUUCAUAGACAUCCCAGAGAAUACAAAUAAAAUUGAAUUAACAAAAAAAUCAUAUCAAUUAAGUUUUUUUUAUCCUACAUUGAACUUUUGAUGCCGUCCCUAAUGCAUCUCAUGAAUGAUUUUUCCUUGGUUUUCUGUAGAACAGGGUUACUGUUUAAAAACGAGUAAAAAGCGGACUGAAAAGACAUCAAUAUACACAAAAAGGUCAAACAGCAUUCCGAGAUUGGAUAAAAAAUUUGUCAACCGACAGUAAGUAAAUAUAUAUAUAAAAAACAAA
RNAcentral lists this long non-coding RNA (1719 nucleotides) under Mytilus galloprovincialis (Mediterranean mussel). Lineage: Eukaryota; Metazoa; Mollusca; Bivalvia; Mytilida; Mytilidae. The record is from RNAcentral.